RNAcentral lists this microRNA (23 nucleotides) under Gallus gallus (chicken). Its description in RNAcentral is "gga-miR-1646". Lineage: Eukaryota; Metazoa; Chordata; Aves; Galliformes; Phasianidae. The record is from miRBase by way of RNAcentral.
UCUGCCCUGCAGCACUGAGAUCU